UUGGAGGGCAAGUCUGGUGCCAGCAGCCGCGGUAAUUCCAGCUCCAAUAGCGUAUAUUAAAGUUGUUGCAGUUAAAAAGCUCGUAGUUGAAUUUCGGGAUUCAUCCGUUGGUCGGGCUUCACGGUCCGUACUGGUGUGAUGGGUUCCUACCUUCUGAAUAACCGGCAUGCCAUUAAUUUGGUGCGCCGGGGAAGCAGAACUAUUACCUUGAAAAAAUUAGAGUGCUUAAAGCAGGCAAGUGCCUGAAUAGGUUAGCAUGGAAUAAUAAAAUAGGACGGCAUGGUUCUAUUUUGUUGGUUUCUAGGAUCACCGUAAUGAUUAAUAGGGAUAGUUGGGGGCAUUAGUAUUCAAUUGUCAGAGGUGAAAUUCUUGGAUUUAUUGAAGACUAACUUCUGCGAAAGCAUUUGCCAAGGAUGUUUUCAUUAAUCAAGAACGAAAGUUAGGGGAUCGAAGGCGAUCAGAUACCGUCGUAGUCUUAACCAUAAACUAUGCCGACUAGGGAUCGGACGAUGUUAAUUUUUCUUGACUCGUUCGGCGCCUUACGGGAAAC
Molecule: ribosomal RNA, 550 nt
Filed under: uncultured Glomeromycotina
Lineage: Eukaryota; Fungi; Glomeromycota
Description: SSU rRNA
Rfam family: Eukaryotic small subunit ribosomal RNA
Source: RNAcentral